CAGCUUUCUUCACAGACCCUUCAAUGAUGUGACUCCAAGCACCUGUGGAGAGGUUUAUUAACGCGUUAUAGCUGCUGUAUGUACAGGCUGUGUGGAUCAGCCUUAUCAGUGAUAAAACUAAGUCAGAGACACAUGAAUCUUGGUCAACUGGAGCACCAUCUCCUGCUGGCAGAAAUCUGUGCCACUGCAUCUCCAGAGAAGAAAGAAAACAGAAAUGCAGUAAUUGUAAGCACACUGGCAAGCCUUCAGGGGCUGAGACAUGUCCCCGCAGUGGCCUAUAAAAGAAUGUGAAGUGUGGCCUUUGUGGAAAAACGGCGAGGGAAAGCACCUGCGGUUCGACAUUAAAGCAGCCGUUGUAUUUCUAGGUGAGUAAAAUGCUCUGUCCUUUGGAGGUGCAUGCAGAUAAUCAAAUUUGACAUACUGUAUAACGUGUUCUUGUAUUUAGAUUUGAUUAAAGUUUCAGGGUUCUUGUUGUAAAAACACAGUCUGUGUCAGCAUGCCGACAUGCUAAAAUGCAGAAACACCUAGAUGUGCCUCUUAUCCAGUACAUUUGCCUAAGACACGGGGACGGUUUUACAGCCGUGAGGCAAGUUUGAACCAUAAACGUUUUGCCAUAUUCAUUUAACCAUAUGUUUACUGAUAUAUUGACUGACCUUUGUUUAAAUGCUCAGCAUUUUUUGAAUGCUUGGCAACUUUUCAUUUAUUUGUUUGUUUGUUUGUUUGUUUGUUUGUUUGUUUGUUUGUUUGUUUGUUUAAUACAGAUCCUCUCAGCUUCACUUUUACUCUUUUUUUUCAUUUUGAUAGGAUGCCAGCUACUAUUCCUGGACUUGGGCCAUUUCCACAAUGUAUAAGUCUUGCCCUAUCUGGAAAUAUACUAGAAUUGCUCUUUUGGAUAACCACCAAAUGAGUAACAAACAUGGCAUGGGUAUGGCUUUUACAUCUUUAGCCUGUAGCUGAGUGUGGGCAUCACGUGGAAUGAGUUUUGGCUGAGUUUCUGGAUGCAAAAUCAUAUGAUCCAACACCUAGAAAGAUAUUUGAGAUUAAAAUUCAACAUUCAAACUGUGUAGUAACUGUACAGGAAAAAACCGAGUGACCCAAAGUAGUCACAGAUCUUUAAAUAUUUUUCAGUAUGAAAGGUCCAUUAUACUUAUGUCAUUAGAUUUAUAUUUAAGCACUCAUACAGCCUCAUACUGGGAAAAAUAUGUAUGAAAAACAUGUAUGAAUUAUCAAGCUAACAAGCUACUGAAAUUAAACUAGCUAAAAACCAGAAUAGUUAGACAGAUCUUUUAAUACUUUCCAGUAUGAAAGCUCUAUUGACGUAAUGAUGCCAUACCAUGUAUAUUUAAGCGCUCAUAAAGCAGGCAGGAAAUGUUCAGGAUCUUGUGUUAAGGGAUGUCUUUCUAGAUAGCUAUAUAACUAUCAGGGCUGUCAAGUGUCACGCAUUGAGAGUGACAGUCACGCAUGUCGGUCUUUUCUCACGCUCUCCCGCCACACAUCGUAUUUCUCACGCAGAAAAACCUUUUGACUAUUUAUCAUAUAUU
This is a long non-coding RNA of Tachysurus fulvidraco (yellow catfish), 1541 nucleotides long. RefSeq lists it as uncharacterized. The record is from RefSeq and is a predicted model, not a curated record. NCBI's taxonomy places the organism in Eukaryota, Metazoa, Chordata, Actinopteri, Siluriformes, Bagridae. The transcript has 3 exons.